This 253-nucleotide ribosomal RNA is filed under the name uncultured bacterium. Its description in RNAcentral is "partial 16S ribosomal RNA". It matches the Rfam family "Bacterial small subunit ribosomal RNA", at positions 524 to 776 of the family's 1533-position model. The record is from RNAcentral.
UACAGAGGGUCCGAGCGUUGUCCGGAAUUAUUGGGCGUAAAGGGCUCGUAGGCGGUUUGUUGCGUCGGGUGUGAAAACUUCGAGCUUAACUCGGAGCUUGCUUUCGAUACGGGCAGACUUGAGGCAUUCAGGGGAGAACGGAAUUUCUGGUGUAGCGGUGAAAUGCGCAGAUAUCAGAAGGAACACCGGUGGCGAAGGCGGUUCUCUGGGAAUGUUCUGACGCUGAGGAGCGAAAGUGUGGGGAGCGAACAGG